This 86-nucleotide transfer RNA is filed under the name Hyphomicrobiales bacterium. RNAcentral describes it as "tRNA-Leu". It matches the Rfam family "tRNA". Rfam says of the family: Transfer RNA (tRNA) molecules are approximately 80 nucleotides in length. Lineage: Bacteria; Pseudomonadati; Pseudomonadota; Alphaproteobacteria; Hyphomicrobiales. The record is from RNAcentral.
GCGGACGUGGCGGAAUUGGUAGACGCAAGGGACUUAAAAUCCCUCGGGCCUUGCCCGUGCGGGUUCGAUCCCCGCCGUCCGCACCA